This 71-nucleotide transfer RNA is filed under the name Loxodonta africana (African savanna elephant). It matches the Rfam family "tRNA". From Rfam's summary of the family: Transfer RNA (tRNA) molecules are approximately 80 nucleotides in length. Their secondary structure includes four short double-helical elements and three loops (D, anti-codon, and T loops). Lineage: Eukaryota; Metazoa; Chordata; Mammalia; Proboscidea; Elephantidae. The record is from Rfam by way of RNAcentral.
GUAGUGGUGGUUCAGUGGUAGAAUUAUUGCCUCUCAUGCCGGAGGCCUGGGUUCGAUUCCCAGCCAAUGUG